GACGAACGCUGGCGGCGUGCUUAACACAUGCAAGUCGAACGGUAAGGCCCUUCGGGGUACACGAGUGGCGAACGGGUGAGUAACACGUGGGUGAUCUGCCCUGCACUUCGGGAUAAGCCUGGGAAACUGGGUCUAAUACCGGAUAGGACUCCUGCCUGCAUGGGUGGGGGUGGAAAGCUUUUGCGGUGUGGGAUGGGCCCGCGGCCUAUCAGCUUGUUGGUGGGGUGAUGGCCUACCAAGGCGACGACGGGUCGCCGGCCUGAGAGGGUGACCGGCCACGCUGGGACUUGGAUACUGCCCAGACGCCUACGGGAGGCAGCAGUGGGGAAUAUUGCACAAUGGGCGCAAGCCUGAUGCAGCGACGCCGCGUGAGGGAUGACGGCCUUCGGGUUGUAAACCUCUUUCAGCACAGACGAAGCGCAAGUGACGGUAUGUGCAGAAGAAGGACCGGCCAACUACGUGCCAGCCGCCGCUGUAA
This 478-nucleotide ribosomal RNA is filed under the name uncultured bacterium. RNAcentral's name for it is "partial 16S ribosomal RNA". It matches the Rfam family "Bacterial small subunit ribosomal RNA", at positions 28 to 523 of the family's 1533-position model. The record is from RNAcentral.